Long non-coding RNA from Humulus lupulus (European hop), 2947 nucleotides. RefSeq lists it as uncharacterized. The record is from RefSeq and is a predicted model, not a curated record. Lineage: Eukaryota; Viridiplantae; Streptophyta; Magnoliopsida; Rosales; Cannabaceae. The transcript has 2 exons.
UCAAAAUGUUUACAUUUUGAAUUUUUUACAUUUUUUUUAUUUGUUUUUAUGUUUAUUUUUUAUUACUUUUUACCAUAUUGUUUUAAUUUUUUCAAUUUCAGUUUUACCUCCUUCUCUCUCCUCCGUCUCUCUCCUUUGUGUGCGAUUUCUGCCUCUGUUUGGCGGUUGUGGCAAUUUUUUGGGUUGUCGAGCUAAGGAACAUUGGCGAACGAAGGAUGAAGGCAAAUACAGCUCUUCAAGUGCUCUGCUUUUCCGUCUCUACUUCAGGCAACGGGACAUCAUGACCAUCCCUACACACGGCCGAAGAGGCCACAGACGUCGGGACCAUCUAUACUCUGCUCACGGUGGUGGACUGGCUAUGAUUGACCAUCUCUUCUCUCGGUCAGGUGAGUUUAGUCACAGUUAUUUAUAAAUUCAAUGUUUUCUUUUUUGCACAAGUGUUCUCCAAAACAAAUCGACCCUUUUACAUACAUAUAUAUAUAUAUACUUGUUUAAUUUCAAUUUGGUUAAAUGUAAAUGGGGUGUCUCUUAGAUUUUUAUGAUUAUUUAUAUCUAUUUUUAUAUAUAAAUCCAGAUAGAUUGACCAAAUCCACUUUUGUUGUUUAAUGUAUUUGAUGGUUGUGCUUGUUUGUUAUGAGUCUGAGAGUAUUUUUAUCAGGUAGUUUGAUUUUCUUAUUUGAUGGGUUUUCAUUUUCGCUUGUUCUUUUUGGUGUUAAUAUCUAUAUUAGUGGCAUUUUUAGGUUAAGAAACUAGCUUAUUAUUGUUUAUGCAAGACAAUAUUUGCAUUCGUUUGUUUCUUGAAGUUUAUUGUCAUUAAUUCUAACUCUAUUGGUUUCAGUUAGAACACAUUUGUUUUGGUCUUAUAUGGGAUUAUUUACCUAAAAUGAUGGUUUCAGGACCUUUUGUUUCUUUUUUCUUUUUGAGUAUAUCUUUUUCUAGUACUAGAGAUUACUGUGCCAAUUUUGUUAAAAAGUCAUUUUAAAACUAUUUUUGUAAAUAAGGUUGAGAGAUAAAUGAUUGAAACUGAAUUCAAGCACAAUAUCAAGUAUAUGCAAUUUGUUUUUUUUUUUAAUUUUGGUUUUGUGUGAAAUUGUUUGUUUGAUUUUCUAAAAAUUGUUUGGUUUUUUUGUUUUUUAGGUUUAAGAAAUAUGAUGAUAACAAGGUUGAGACAUCGAUCGAUUUCACUUUCAUGUUUUUAAUGUUGUUUUUUUACUUAGUUUAUUUAUAGUUAAUGAAAUUUUAUAUGCUCAGUAACUGGUUACUAUUUUUUUUUUAUUUUGGUUUUUUUUUUCAUGUUUUUGUUUAUUAUAGGUAAUUGGUUACUUUGAGAUUAUUCGUAUUUUAAAUGUGUUGUUUAAUUGUUAAUGUAACUGGUUACUUUGAUAAGUUAUUGGUUCUGUGUUUAAAAAAGUGUUGUUUCUAAUAAAAACAAUGUUAAGUAAUCAUUUUAUUUGUGAUUUUAUGUUAACCUAUAUUUAUAGUUGAUUUGUGGAUGCCUUGUAUAGGUUUCAAUGUAGCUUGUUAGAUCACGGGUUACCCUAGUUGUGUAUGCUUUUUCGUGUGAUGUUUAAUCUACAGGUAACUUAGCUGUGUAUGCUUUUUUCAUGUGUUGUUUAAUCUACAUGUAACUGGUUGCCCUAGCUAUGUUUGUGAUUGUUUAUAAUGAUUGUUAGAUCUACAAGUAACUGGUUACCCUAGCUGUGUAUGUUUUUUCAUGUGUUGUUUAAUCGACAAGUAACUAGUUACCAUAGUUGUGUUUGCCUUGUAUAGGAUGCAAUGUAGCUUAUUUUUGUGUGUGUGUGUUUAUAAUGUUUGUUAAAUCUACGCGUAACUGGUUACCCUAGUUGUGUUUGCCUUGCAUAUGUUUCAAUGUAGCUUAUUUUGUGUGUUUGUUUAUAAUGAUUAUUAGAUCUUCAGGUAACUGGUUACGCUAGGUGUGUAUGUUUUUUGAUGUGUUGUUUAAUCGACAAGUAACUGGUUAACCUAGUUGUGUUUGCCUUGCAUAGGUUGCAAUGUAGCUUAUUUUGUGUGUGUUUGUUUAUAAUGAUUGUUAAAUCUACAGGUAACUGGUUACCCUAGCUGUGUUUGCCUUGCAUAGGUUGCAAUGUAGCUUAUUUUGUGUGUGUUUGUUUAUAAUGAUUAUUAAAUCUAUAGGCAAGUGGUUACCCUAGCUGUGUAUGUUAUUUCAUGUGUUAUUUAAUUUCCAAGGUAACGGUUACUUUGGUAAGUAACUGGUUUCUUUUUUUGUGUUUGUCUGUUUUCUAAUUUUGCUAUGUAAUCAGUUUUAUUUGUGAUUUUUAAGUGUUUUGUUUUAUAUUUGAUUUGUUUUGCAUAGUUUGUAAUGUAGCCGGUUAACUUUUAAAGUAACCGGUUUCCCUUGUAGUUCUUAGUUAUUUUAAUUUUCUUUUUUUGUGGUAGUUGUGUUCUUCUUUUUUUUCGCAUGUUGUGCAUUAUAUGAUCAAACUAGAGUUUCAGUUUGGAAGUAAGGUUCAACAAUGGAAUAAACAUGAGGUUAUAGCUGAAUUGAACAAAGUUUUCACCAAGAAGCAGAAAGCUAUGUUUAGAAUAACUACUUUUGGAUGCCAAAAGAACUUGAUGCUCUGUUGCUUCGCCAAGACAUUGCUUGUUAGUUUGUAUUUUCAUUGGAAGAAGAAACAAGAAGAUGGAUAUCUGACUAACGAUGAGUUCAACGAUAAGCUUUUGGAGAAGAGGCAGAAGAUGAGGAAGAUUGUUGCAUAGGUUAUUUAGGAAGCUUUUAGAAGUGAUAUUUGACAUUUUUUUUUAUUUUGUUUAUGUUCUAGACCAGUUUAGCUUUUGUAAAGGAUAUUUGACUUUUGAAAAUGAUGACCAAUAGUUAGUUGCAUACUUAUCUAUUUUAAACUGCUACUAUUGUAAGACAUUUGUUACUUAAGAUUAUUUUAUAUAUCAAUUGAUCUUUUUUGUGUUC